CCUACGGGUGGCUGCAGUAGGGAAUAUUGGUUAAUGGGCGAAAGCCUGACCCAGCAACGCCGCGUGAACGAUGAAGGCCUUCGGGUUGUAAAGUUCUUUUGGCAGGGAUGAGGAAGGACAGUACCUGUCGAAUAAGUCUCGGCUAACUACGUGCCAGCAGCCGCGGUAACACGUAGGAGACAAGCGUUAUCCGGAUUUACUGGGUGUAAAGCGCGUGCAGGCGGACCUGUAAGUUGGAUGUGAAAGCUCCUGGCUUAACUGGGAGAGGUCGUGCAAGACUGCAGGUCUAGAGGACAGCAGAGGGGAGUGGAAUUCCGAGUGUAGCGGUAAAAUGCAUAGAUAUUCGGAAGAACACCAGUGGCGAAGGCGGCUCUCUGGGCUGUUCCUGACGCUCAGACGCGAAAGCUAGGGUAGCAAACGGGAUUAGAUACCCUAGUAGUC
RNAcentral lists this ribosomal RNA (441 nucleotides) under uncultured bacterium. RNAcentral's name for it is "partial 16S ribosomal RNA". It matches the Rfam family "Bacterial small subunit ribosomal RNA", at positions 338 to 795 of the family's 1533-position model. The record is from RNAcentral.